RNAcentral lists this transfer RNA (74 nucleotides) under Methylobacterium gossipiicola. RNAcentral's name for it is "tRNA_Met_CAT". It matches the Rfam family "tRNA". Rfam says of the family: Transfer RNA (tRNA) molecules are approximately 80 nucleotides in length. Their secondary structure includes four short double-helical elements and three loops (D, anti-codon, and T loops). The record is from RNAcentral. Lineage: Bacteria; Pseudomonadati; Pseudomonadota; Alphaproteobacteria; Hyphomicrobiales; Methylobacteriaceae. RNAcentral also lists the same sequence under 2 other names.
GGCGGGGUAGCUCAGUUGGUUAGAGCAGAGGAAUCAUAAUCCUUGUGUCGGGAGUUCAAAUCUCUCCCUCGCUA